This 261-nucleotide ribosomal RNA is filed under the name uncultured archaeon. RNAcentral's name for it is "partial 16S ribosomal RNA". It matches the Rfam family "Archaeal small subunit ribosomal RNA", at positions 748 to 1009 of the family's 1478-position model. The record is from RNAcentral.
CAGCCGUAAACUAUGCGCGUUAGGUGUAUCGGUGACCACGAGUCACCGAGGUGCCGAAGGGAAACCGUGAAACGUGCCGCCUGGGAAGUACGGCCGCAAGGCUGAAACUUAAAGGAAUUGGCGGGGGAGCACCACAACAGGUGGAGCCUGCGGUUUAAUUGGACUCAACGCCGGGAAGCUCACCGGAUAGGACAGCAGAAUGAUUGCCGGGCUGAAGACCCUGCAUGACUAGCUGAGAGGAGGUGCAUGGCGUAGACGUCU